UACAGAGGGUGCAAGUGUUAAUCGGAAUUACUGGGCGUAAAGCGCGCGUAGGCGGUAUGUUAAGUCGGAUGUGAAAUCCCUGGGCUCAACCUAGGCAUUGCAUCCGAUACUGGCACACUAGAGUGUGGGAGAGGAAGGUAGAAUUCCAGGUGUAGCGGUGAAAUGCGUAGAGAUCUGGAGGAAUACCGAUGGCGAAGGCAGCCUUCUGGCCUAACACUGACGCUGAGGUGCGAAAGCAUGGGGAGCAAACAGG
RNAcentral lists this ribosomal RNA (253 nucleotides) under uncultured bacterium. RNAcentral's name for it is "partial 16S ribosomal RNA". It matches the Rfam family "Bacterial small subunit ribosomal RNA", at positions 524 to 776 of the family's 1533-position model. The record is from RNAcentral.